UACGUAGGGUGCAAGCGUUGUCCGGAAUUAUUGGGCGUAAAGAGCUCGUAGGCGGUCUGUCGCGUCGGCUGUGAAAUCCCGAGGCUCAACCUCGGGUCUGCAGUCGAUACGGGCAAACUGGAGUGUUGCAGGGGAGACUGGAAUUCCUGGUGUAGCGGUGAAAUGCGCAGAUAUCAGGAGGAACACCGGUGGCGAAGGCGCCUAUCUGGCCCGAUACUGACGCUGAGGCGCGAAAGCUAGGGGAGCAAACGGG
Molecule: ribosomal RNA, 253 nt
Filed under: uncultured bacterium
Lineage: Bacteria
Description: partial 16S ribosomal RNA
Rfam family: Bacterial small subunit ribosomal RNA
Source: RNAcentral